UGCAGCCUUGUCAAAUUCAGUGUGUUCUAUACUGUGAACUGCACUGGCCAGAAUGGCUGCGACAGAGACGGUAGUUCAUGGGCCCCACUACCUUACAUCACAGGUGAUGGGGAUAAAUAUGUACUACAGACAAAU
RNAcentral lists this small nucleolar RNA (135 nucleotides) under Echeneis naucrates (live sharksucker). RNAcentral describes it as "Small nucleolar RNA SNORA5 (ENSENLG00000001693.1)". It matches the Rfam family "Small nucleolar RNA SNORA5". Rfam says of the family: ACA5 is a member of the H/ACA class of snoRNA that guide the sites of modification of uridines to pseudouridines. The record is from Rfam by way of RNAcentral. Lineage: Eukaryota; Metazoa; Chordata; Actinopteri; Carangiformes; Echeneidae.